CCUACGGGAGGCAGCAGUGGGGAAUAUUGGACAAUGGGCGAAAGCCUGAUCCAGCCAUGCCGCGUGUGUGAAGAAGGCCUUCGGGUUGUAAAGCACUUUCAGUGGGGAAGAAAGCCUUGGGGCUAAUACCCUCGAGGAAGGACAUCACCCACAGAAGAAGCACCGGCUAACUCCGUGCCAGCAGCCGCGGUAAUAUGGAGGGUGCGAGCGUUAAUCGGAAUUACUGGGCGUAAAGCGCGCGUAGGCGGUCUGAUAAGCCGGUUGUGAAAGCCCCGGGCUCAACCUGGGAACGGCAUCCGGAACUGUCAGGCUAGAGUGCAGGAGAGGAAGGUAGAAUUCCCGGUGUAGCAGUGAAAUGCGUAGAGAUCGGGAGGAAUACCAGUGGCGAAGGCGGCCUUCUGGACUGACACUGACGCUGAGGUGCGAAAGCGUGGGUAGCAAACAGGAUUAGAUACCCGGGUAGUC
RNAcentral lists this ribosomal RNA (465 nucleotides) under Vreelandella stevensii. RNAcentral's name for it is "partial 16S ribosomal RNA". It matches the Rfam family "Bacterial small subunit ribosomal RNA", at positions 338 to 795 of the family's 1533-position model. Lineage: Bacteria; Pseudomonadati; Pseudomonadota; Gammaproteobacteria; Oceanospirillales; Halomonadaceae. The record is from RNAcentral.